AUAUAUCCUAUUCGAAGCCACAUUAGUUCCAACACUAAUUAUCAUCACCCGCUGAGGUAACCAAACAGAACGCCUAAACGCAGGCCUCUACUUUCUAUUCUACACGCUAGUAGGCUCCCUCCCACUCUUAGUCGCACUAAUCUCUAUCCAAAACCUAACAGGCUCACUAAAUUUCCUACUAAUCCAAUACUGAAACCAAGCACUACCCGACUCUUGAUCUAAUAUCUUCUUAUGAUUAGCAUGUAUAAUAGCGUUUAUAGUUAAAAUGCCCCUAUAUGGCCUUCACCUCUGACUUCCGAAAGCCCAUGUAGAAGCCCCAAUCGCUGGGUCCAUAGUGCUAGCAGCCAUCCUACUAAAACUAGGGGGCUACGGAAUACUGCGAAUUACAAUAAUACUAAACCCCCAGACUAAUUUUAUAGCCUACCCCUUCCUCAUACUAUCUCUAUGAGGAAUAAUUAUAACUAGCUCCAUCUGCUUACGACAAACUGAUCUAAAAUCACUUAUUGCAUACUCCUCUGUCAGCCAUAUAGCCCUAGUAAUUGUAGCCGUCCUUAUCCAAACACCAUGAAGCUAUAUAGGGGCCACAGCCCUAAUAAUUGCCCACGGUCUUACGUCAUCAAUACUAUUCUGUCUAGCAAACUCAAAUUACGAACGCACUCAUAGCCGAACCAUAAUCCUAGCCCGCGGACUUCAAACUCUCCUUCCCCUCAUAGCAGCUUGAUGACUAUUAGCCAGCCUAACCAACCUGGCCCUCCCUCCCAGCAUUAACCUAAUCGGAGAACUAUUCGUAGUAAUAUCAUCAUUCUCAUGGUCAAAUAUCACCAUCACCGCUCUCUACUCCCUCUACAUACUAAUUACUACACAACGAGGAAAAUACACAUACCAUAUCAACAACAUCAAACCCUCAUUUACACGAGAAAACGCACUCAUAGCCCUCCACAUGACUCCCCUACUACUCCUAUCACUUAAUCCCAAAAUCAUCCUAGGCUUUACGUACUGUAAAUAUAGUUUAACAAAAACGCUAGAUUGUGGAUCUAGAAACAGAAACUCAAUAUUUCUUAUUUACCGAGAAAGUAUGCAAGAACUGCUAAUUCAUGCUUCCGCGUCUGACAAACACGGCUCUCUCAAACUUUUAAAGGAUAGGAGCUAUCCGUUGGUCUUAGGAACCAAAAAAUUGGUGCAACUCCAAGUAAAAGUAAUUAACAUAUUCUCCUCCCUCAUGCUAGUUUCAUUAUCAGUAUUAACCCUACCAAUCAUAUCAUCAAUCCUCAACACCCACAAAAACAGCACGUAUCCUCAUCACGUAAAAAACAUCAUUUCAUAUGCCUUCAUUACCAGCCUAAUUCCUACCAUAAUAUUUAUCCACUCUGGACAAGAAACAAUCAUCUCAAACUGACACUGAAUGACCAUUCAAACCCUCAAACUAUCCCUAAGCUUCAAACUAGACUAUUUCUCAAUGGUCUUUGUACCAGUAGCCCUAUUCGUAACAUGAUCUAUCAUAGAAUUCUCCCUAUGAUACAUACACUCAGAUCCUUACAUCACUCGAUUUUUUAAAUACCUACUCACAUUCCUUAUUACCAUAAUAAUCCUAGUCACAGCCAACAACCUCUUCCAACUGUUCAUCGGAUGAGAGGGAGUAGGCAUCAUAUCAUUCCUACUAAUCGGAUGAUGAUAUGGUCGAACAGAUGCCAACACUGCAGCCCUCCAGGCAAUCCUAUACAACCGCACGGGG
This is a long non-coding RNA of Equus asinus (donkey), 1732 nucleotides long. The record is from Ensembl. Lineage: Eukaryota; Metazoa; Chordata; Mammalia; Perissodactyla; Equidae.